ACGGAGGGUGCGAGCGUUAAUCGGAAUCACUGGGCGUAAAGCGCACGUAGGCGGUGUCGUAAGUCGGAUGUGAAAGCCCUCGGCUCAACCGGGGAACUGCAUUCGAUACUGCGACGCUUGAGUGCCGGAGAGGGUGGCGGAAUUCCAGGUGUAGGAGUGAAUCCCGGAGAUAUCUGGAGGAGCACCGAAGGCGAGGGGGGCCACCUGGCCGGGAUCUUACGCUGAGGUGAGAAAGCGUGGGGAUGAAAGUG
This 251-nucleotide ribosomal RNA is filed under the name uncultured prokaryote. RNAcentral's name for it is "partial 16S rRNA". It matches the Rfam family "Bacterial small subunit ribosomal RNA", at positions 525 to 775 of the family's 1533-position model. The record is from RNAcentral.